This 71-nucleotide transfer RNA is filed under the name Echinostoma paraensei. Its description in RNAcentral is "tRNA-His". Lineage: Eukaryota; Metazoa; Platyhelminthes; Trematoda; Plagiorchiida; Echinostomatidae. The record is from RNAcentral.
UCUUUUGUAGGUUAUGCUUAUUUUUAAACUGUCGGUUUGUGGUGCCGUUGAAUCUUUCAGACAAAAGAAAG